This 72-nucleotide transfer RNA is filed under the name Bos taurus (domestic cattle). It matches the Rfam family "tRNA". Rfam says of the family: Transfer RNA (tRNA) molecules are approximately 80 nucleotides in length. Their secondary structure includes four short double-helical elements and three loops (D, anti-codon, and T loops). Further hydrogen bonds mediate the characteristic L-shaped molecular structure. tRNAs have two regions of fundamental functional importance: the anti-codon, which is responsible for specific mRNA codon recognition, and the 3' end, to which the tRNAs corresponding amino acid is attached (by aminoacyl-tRNA synthetases). tRNAs cope with the degeneracy of the genetic code in two manners: having more than one tRNA (with a specific anti-codon) for a particular amino acid; and 'wobble' base-pairing, i.e. permitting non-standard base-pairing at the 3rd anti-codon position. RNAcentral also lists the same sequence under 3 other names. The record is from Rfam by way of RNAcentral. Lineage: Eukaryota; Metazoa; Chordata; Mammalia; Artiodactyla; Bovidae.
UCCCUGGUGGUCCAGUGGUAAGACUCUGUGCUCUCAAUGUAGAGGGCCCUGGUUUGAUCCCUGGUCAGGCAA